AGGCGCGUAGCUCAGUUGGUUAGAGCACUGUGUUCACAUCGCAGGGGUCGGCGGUUCGAGUCCGCCCGCGCCUACCA
RNAcentral lists this transfer RNA (77 nucleotides) under Sedimenticola thiotaurini. RNAcentral describes it as "tRNA-Val". It matches the Rfam family "tRNA". Rfam says of the family: Transfer RNA (tRNA) molecules are approximately 80 nucleotides in length. The record is from RNAcentral. Lineage: Bacteria; Pseudomonadati; Pseudomonadota; Gammaproteobacteria; Chromatiales; Sedimenticolaceae.